CACUGAGUUACAACCAGAGCUUGCACCCCCAACUCUUCUCUCCCCGGUUCCUCUAUUUCUCUCUCCCGUCUGAAUGGCGGCAUCCAGUGAUGGUGUAUCCGGCUGCAAUUUGUUCUUGUUGGCUGGGGUGGUUUUAAGAAUUACAAGCUUGUUAAGUUUGUAAAGGAGGAAGACAAUUAUGCGGAGAAUAAUGUACCAAGAGUCAUGGAAUUUUCAUGGCAAAGUCUUUACCGAAAGAGAACGGAGCCGUAUGACACAUUGCAGAAGGUGCAUGUUUUGAUUGCACUAGUUGUUGCACCUCCAGAUAUGACCUUGUUCAUUUUCGUCUCAAAGUCAUGUCCUCUUUUGGAGCCUGCAGCUAGGAAGCCUUUGAUGACUUGGCUCCUGGGUUUUCCGUUGGCCCAAUUAUCGCAUUUGUUGUAGUUGAUGGAGCAUUGGAGGUCGAGCCUCUCCCAUCAUUCUUGGACUUUCCUAGUUGCUCUAAGUUCUUCUUAUGUGUCAUGUACAAUUUCUUUGAGAAGAGUGUGAUACCACCAAGUGAAAGGAAAGUUGAGCUUGCUCCAAA
Malus domestica (apple) is the source of this 565-nucleotide long non-coding RNA. RefSeq lists it as uncharacterized. NCBI's taxonomy places the organism in Eukaryota, Viridiplantae, Streptophyta, Magnoliopsida, Rosales, Rosaceae. The record is from RefSeq and is a predicted model, not a curated record.